Long non-coding RNA from Culicoides brevitarsis, 414 nucleotides. RefSeq lists it as uncharacterized. Lineage: Eukaryota; Metazoa; Arthropoda; Insecta; Diptera; Ceratopogonidae. The transcript has 3 exons. The record is from RefSeq and is a predicted model, not a curated record.
GCCGUAACUAUCACAACAUGACUCUCACUCGGUGUCAAAGAUGCGGGGAAUAUCACAAGCAGAGUCAAUCGACGUUAAAAUCUCCCUCUGAUGACUUGAUGAUCACGUUGUUCAAAGACGCAACAAUCUACAUAAAUCGUGCUUUACCACAACAAUUUUUCAUGUAACUCUGUGGCGUUUUAGCAGUUUCAGAAAAGGCUCACCGAUGGAACACCGAUUUUUGAAGAAUACUAUUCAAUUUUAUCAUUUAGAAAGAAACAAUUGUGCCGGACAGAUUUUCUCUUGAGUAUCAGUCUUCUCAAGGAUAUCAAGAAACUAACGUCUUAUUGUCUUUAGGUUGUUGAAUUUUAUGUCUUGACUUGUAUGUUCUGCCUCUGCAAGAACAUAAAUUUUUCAUAAAUAUACCCUUAUAAA